AUGCGUGAGCUUUCUUUAUCGAAACGGAAGAAAAGGAAAUGGAACAGCGGUUCACCUAUUUCAACUGCAAGGUUAGUUUUCGUAGUUCACUGUGAAAUUUUUCCUCCAUCUUCUCCACCCAAUCUUAUCCCCUUCUCUGAUCCUGCUGUAAGCAUGUAUCUGCCUUCCCUCCACUUGUUCAUCACCAUGCUCCUGAUUCCUUGGCCCUUCAGUUCAGUGCGUCUCUGCACACCUGACAGCAUGCUUGUCCCUGGCAUGGGUCUCACUCCUGGAAAAACUCUCAUCUCGGAACAAGGUUCGUUUGCCUUGGGCUUCUUUUCCCCCUCAAAUUCAACUGAAAAUAUGUAUGUUGGCAUAUGGUUCAACGAUAUCCCAUUGCGCACCGUUGUCUGGGUUGCCAACCGCGGUAAUCCGAUCACUGAUGCUUCAUCCGCGGUGCUUAGUAUGACCGACAACUCUAGCCUUGUGUUGUCCGAAACCAAUGGCCACCACAUACUUUGGAUGACAAACACAAUCACUGGCAGCAACUCUUCGGCCAAGCUUCUCAACAAUGGCAAUCUUGUAGUCUUAUCACCAGAUGGUGCCAUGUUAUGGCAGAGCUUUGAAAACCCAAGUGACACCGUCCUUCCUGGCAUGCCUAUGCGGACGACCCACAAGACACACCCAACAUGGCGGAUGAUCUCUUGGAAGGGUCCUGAAGACCCUUCAAAAGGCAGGUUCUCUGGUGGGAAUGACCUUGACAGUCCCCUACAGUUCUUCGUCUGGGAUGGGUCAGUGCCAUACUUCCGUGCCACUGUGUGGAACGGCUAUGUAUCCUCCAACGUGGGUCUCCAGACCGUUAGUCCACUCAUGUAUUUGACAGUUUAG
Molecule: ribosomal RNA, 867 nt
Filed under: Triticum aestivum (bread wheat)
Lineage: Eukaryota; Viridiplantae; Streptophyta; Magnoliopsida; Poales; Poaceae
Description: partial small subunit ribosomal RNA
Source: RNAcentral